Wyeomyia smithii (pitcher-plant mosquito) is the source of this 1500-nucleotide long non-coding RNA. RefSeq lists it as uncharacterized. The transcript has 5 exons. The record is from RefSeq and is a predicted model, not a curated record. Lineage: Eukaryota; Metazoa; Arthropoda; Insecta; Diptera; Culicidae.
GAAAGUACCCAAAAAGCAGUUCGAGAGUACUCAACUUUGACGUUCGGCUCUCGAGCUUGUAGUUGGGUUAAAAUUCGAUCUCCAAGUUGGGUAGUUUUAACCCAAACGUUGAGUUGUUGCGCGAGAACUUAUUUUUGAGUAGUUUUGGACUUAACCGCUUUGUCGUGUAAUUUGAGCUCCUCUCGUUUGACAACUCAAUCAAAACAAAUCCGGUCAAAUUCUGUUACUCCAGUUUAUAUAUUAUUGCCGUAUUUUUCGCGAGAGUUUAUUCGAAACUGUUUAAUAAACGUAAGUGCAACGGGUGAAGAAUUCAUGAAGGAAGGAUGGAUGAACCGCGGGAUCAACACGGCGAGGCGACGCCGAUGGUUUCGAGGAGCCGCUGGAAAAUUGCCGGGAGUGUUAAGCAGGCGGAACGCCAGAAUGAGUUAUUAAUCAACCAUCAACAAAUCACACAGCAAUUGCUUGAAUGUCAAAUCAUUUAAUUGAAUGGCUUAUAUCAGCCGGAGUGCGGGCGAAUAAAAUUUCCACCGAAUUAGGUGAGACGCCAGCUUGGCGAACAGAGAUGAUUUCGGAACACACUUGGUGGUCCCUGAUAUACUGUUUAGCGGAGGAAUACCCGAAUUUUUUAACGUUGAACAUCAAGCUGAUCUCAGAUGCCGGGAAACUGAAAAUUUUUAUUUCUGAUUUUUUUAACCAUCCGGAUAAUUGGUAGUCCGUGAUCCAUGAGUGUGCCGAAAUGGUUUGUCAUGGACAGCACACACGUUUACAAUCAGGUGUUGGUUGAGGAACUUUGCCAACAACCUUAGGAUGGUUUAUUUAUCAUAAAACGGUUGGCCCAGGAAAUAGCAAAAUACUAAAAUUCUCCCCCCAAUCACCCAAGUUCCCCACACUGAGUGACGCAAUAAAAGGACAUUCCGUAUUGAAAGAAGAUCAUUCCCUGGUCGACCGUCGAGGCGAAUAGUUCGGCUUCUCUUCGAUCUGAGUUGGACCCCACCAGUUGGAAGGAAUACGGCCCGAAAUUGGCACUGGGAGGAAGGGACCAUUGGAAGACUUGGAAGCCGUUAGGGUGCUGCCGAUAGUGGAGAACAUGCACGAGAGGCCCUAAGAAAUGGAAAACAUCUUACUAACCGAGAAAUCAGGAUUCAGAUUGAACCACGCGACGUGGAUGCUCGCAUUUCCCCUGAUAAAAUGGAUAGAGGUUACGAUACAUUUUCAUGUUGAGAAGUUUGCCAACGCCGAACCGCACGUUGUUUGAUGCCGAAAUGAAAUGAAGGGAUCAUUAUCAAAAGCCGCCUGUGCCGGUUUCUUGCUCGUCUGAUAGUGACGUCAGGGAGUACGAUGAUGAAGCCAGCCAGAUCAAACAGUAUUUGGAAUUGCUGUUUAAAAUUCAAGAGGACAAGUACAAUUACGAUAACUAUGUGAAAUCUCUGGUUCAUGCUUAUUAAAUGUCCGGCCUGGAUAAAACUCGGCUAAAUUGCGGCAAUCGGACUCAAUCUGGGA